AGAAAAUAGAUACCCUGGUAGUCCUAGCCGUAAACUCUGAGAACUUGAUUGAAGGACCCUCCAUAGUCUUUCAGUCGUAGCGAAAAGUGUUAAGUUCUCCGCCUGGGGAGUAUGGUCGCAAGGCUGAAACUCAAAGAAAUUGACGGGGGCUCACACAAGCGGUGGAGGAUGUGGCUUAAUUCGAGGCUACGCGAAGAACCUUAUCCUAGUCUUGACAUGCAUUUCUAAGUCGGUGAAAGCCGGCGAGUGUAGCAAUACACAACUUGCACAGGUGCUGCGUGGCUGUCGUCAGCUCGUGUCGUGAGAUGUCGCGUUAAGUCGCUUAACGAGCGAAACCCUUGUCCUUAGUUACCAGCGAGUAAUGUCGGGGACUCUAAGGAGACUGCCGGUGUUAAACCGGAGGAAGGUGGGGAUGACGUCAAGUCCUCAUGGCCUUUAUGGCUAGGGCUGCACACGUCCUACAAUGGCACACACAGAGGGAAGCAAAACCGUGAGGUCAAGCAAAUCCCAGAAAAUGUGCCCCAGUUCGGAUUGAA
This 536-nucleotide ribosomal RNA is filed under the name uncultured bacterium. Its description in RNAcentral is "bacterial SSU rRNA". It matches the Rfam family "Bacterial small subunit ribosomal RNA", at positions 774 to 1302 of the family's 1533-position model. The record is from RNAcentral.